This 76-nucleotide transfer RNA is filed under the name Candidatus Sungbacteria bacterium RIFCSPHIGHO2_02_FULL_47_11. RNAcentral describes it as "tRNA-Thr". It matches the Rfam family "tRNA". From Rfam's summary of the family: Transfer RNA (tRNA) molecules are approximately 80 nucleotides in length. Their secondary structure includes four short double-helical elements and three loops (D, anti-codon, and T loops). Further hydrogen bonds mediate the characteristic L-shaped molecular structure. tRNAs have two regions of fundamental functional importance: the anti-codon, which is responsible for specific mRNA codon recognition, and the 3' end, to which the tRNAs corresponding amino acid is attached (by aminoacyl-tRNA synthetases). tRNAs cope with the degeneracy of the genetic code in two manners: having more than one tRNA (with a specific anti-codon) for a particular amino acid; and 'wobble' base-pairing, i.e. permitting non-standard base-pairing at the 3rd anti-codon position. The record is from RNAcentral. Lineage: Bacteria; Candidatus Sungiibacteriota.
GCCACCUUAGCUCAGUUGGUAGAGCACAGCUUUCGUAAAGCUGGGGUCCGGAGUUCGAUCCUCCGAGGUGGCUCCA